This 613-nucleotide ribosomal RNA is filed under the name Lodderomyces parapsilosis. RNAcentral's name for it is "Candida parapsilosis partial large subunit ribosomal RNA". It matches the Rfam family "Eukaryotic large subunit ribosomal RNA", at positions 38 to 667 of the family's 3401-position model. Lineage: Eukaryota; Fungi; Ascomycota; Pichiomycetes; Serinales; Debaryomycetaceae. The record is from RNAcentral.
GCAUAUCAAAAAGCGGAGGAAAAGAAACCAACAGGGAUUGCCUUAGUAGCGGCGAGUGAAGCGGCAAAAGCUCAAAUUUGAAAUCUGGCACUUUCAGUGUCCGAGUUGUAAUUUGAAGAAGGUAUCUUUGGGUCUGGCUCUUGUCUAUGUUUCUUGGAACAGAACGUCACAGAGGGUGAGAAUCCCGUGCGAUGAGAUGUCCCAGACCUAUGUAAAGUUCCUUCGAAGAGUCGAGUUGUUUGGGAAUGCAGCUCUAAGUGGGUGGUAAAUUCCAUCUAAAGCUAAAUAUUGGCGAGAGACCGAUAGCGAACAAGUACAGUGAUGGAAAGAUGAAAAGAACUUUGAAAAGAGAGUGAAAAAGUACGUGAAAUUGUUGAAAGGGAAGGGCUUGAGAUCAGACUUGGUAUUUUGUAUGUUACUCUCUCGGGGGUGGCCUCUACAGUUUACCGGGCCAGCAUCAGUUUGAGCGGUAGGAUAAGUGCAAAGAAAUGUGGCACUGCUUCGGUAGUGUGUUAUAGUCUUUGUCGAUACUGCCAGCUUAGACUGAGGACUGCGGCUUCGGCCUAGGAUGUUGGCAUAAUGAUCUUAAGUCGCCCGUCUUGAAACACGGACC